RNAcentral lists this ribosomal RNA (468 nucleotides) under uncultured bacterium. RNAcentral's name for it is "partial 16S ribosomal RNA". It matches the Rfam family "Bacterial small subunit ribosomal RNA", at positions 28 to 507 of the family's 1533-position model. The record is from RNAcentral.
GACGAACGCUGGCGGCGUGCUUAACACAUGCAAGUCGAACGGAAAGGCCCUGCUUUUGUGGGGUGCUCGAGUGGCGAACGGGUGAGUAACACGUGAGUAACCUGCCCUUUACUUUGGGAUAACUUCAGGAAACUGGGGCUAAUACCUGCUAGGAGCUCCUGCAGCAUGGUGGGGUUUGGAAAGCUUCGGCGGAUGGGGAUGGACUCGCGGCUUAUCAGCUUGUUGGUGGGGUAGUGGCUUACCAAGGCAUUGACGGGUAGCCGGCCUGAGAGGGUGAACAGCGACAUGGGGACUGAGGUACGGGCCAGAGGGCUAUGUUAGGCAGUGGGGGAGAAUAUUGUACAGUGGGGGGAAGUCUGAGGCAGCAACGUCGGGAUCGUGAUGACGGUUUUGUGGUGAUAAAGCGCAGUCGCCUGUUACGAAGCGGGAUUGACGGUAAUGGGUAAAGAAGCACCGGCUAACUACGUG